Molecule: ribosomal RNA, 747 nt
Filed under: uncultured bacterium
Lineage: Bacteria
Description: bacterial SSU rRNA
Rfam family: Bacterial small subunit ribosomal RNA
Source: RNAcentral
UGAACGCUGGCGGCAGCCUACACAUGCAAGUCGAGCGGCAGCACGGGUACUUGUACCUGGUGGCGAGCGGCGGACGGGUGAGUAAUGCCUAGGAAUCUGCCUGGUAGUGGGGAUAACGCUCGGAAACGGACGCUAAUACCGCAUACGUCCUACGGGAGAAAGCAGGGGACCUUCGGGCCUUGCGCUAUCAGAUGAGCCUAGGUCGGAUUAGCUAGUUGGUGAGGUAAUGGCUCACCAAGGCGACGAUCCGUAACUGGUCUGAGAGGAUGAUCAGUCACACUGGAACUGAGACACGGUCCAGACUCCUACGGGAGGCAGCAGUGGGGAAUAUUGGACAAUGGGCGAAAGCCUGAUCCAGCCAUGCCGCGUGUGUGAAGAAGGUCUUCGGAUUGUAAAGCACUUUAAGUUGGGAGGAAGGGCAGUUACCUAAUACGUAUCUGUUUUGACGUUACCGACAGAAUAAGCACCGGCUAACUCUGUGCCAGCAGCCGCGGUAAUACAGAGGGUGCAAGCGUUAAUCGGAAUUACUGGGCGUAAAGCGCGCGUAGGUGGUUUGUUAAGUUGGAUGUGAAAUCCCCGGGCUCAACCUGGGAACUGCAUUCAAAACUGACAAGCUAGAGUAUGGUAGAGGGUGGUGGAAUUUCCUGUGUAGCGGUGAAAUGCGUAGAUAUAGGAAGGAACACCAGUGGCGAAGGCGACCACCUGGACUGAUACUGACACUGAGGUGCGAAAGCGUGGGGAGCAAAC